GCCCUGGUGGUGUAGUCCGGCUCGGGUAAACUAGCCUUGCUUGUUUCCUGCGGUACCUAUCAUGAAGCCCUGUCGAGGCUUCGACCCGGGUUCAAAAACCGGUCACAGGUUGUUGGAUACGGCAUACCGGUUCGUGUGCCGGGAUGCUGGGGGCCUGUACGGAGUGAAAGUCCCGGCCAGGGCG
Molecule: transfer RNA, 184 nt
Filed under: Candidatus Woesearchaeota archaeon
Lineage: Archaea; Nanobdellati; Candidatus Woesearchaeota
Description: tRNA-Asp
Source: RNAcentral